Non-coding RNA from Equus caballus (horse), 3528 nucleotides. Lineage: Eukaryota; Metazoa; Chordata; Mammalia; Perissodactyla; Equidae. The record is from RefSeq and is a predicted model, not a curated record.
ACACACUGGAAACCACACUGGACACCACACUGGGCCCAACACUGCACACCAGAGGGGAGGCCAAGCCCAUAAGAGGAGGCAGUGCCUCUUCUUAUCUGCAAAGUUCAAUAGAAUACAUCUGUUUCCUAGAAGCUUUUCUUUUUAAAAAUACGUACAUAGUAUUCACGUAAGGUUUACACAACACAGAAUCACACACACCUAUAAGCUAUUUUAAAUAUUAACUAUCUCAUUAGGCAAAUUUUUGUAAUAAGACACAUUGUAACUAUGAGAAUAAACUCUAAUGCGUCUCCAAAUUUAUAUUAAUCAUAAGAAGGUUUUACCAAGUAAUCUAAGUCAUGUUUACGGGGUUGGGAGCAUCUUUGAUUUUAUGCACUGUAUCUUAUGUAGGCACGUGUUCCAAGAAAAUUAAGAAAAAUUGUUAAUUAAAAAUAUUUUUAAAGGAAUUUGCUUUCCUAUAUUAAGCAUUAAAACUAAUAACAAAAUACUUCCAUGUGUUCGAUAAAAAAAUUACUUUAAGUCUAUGAGUUUGCAACUUCCUAUCACUUAAUAGGCUUAAGCCAUUUAAGAAUUUGGAUUGGCAAUUUUACAUUGAGGAUGGCAGCUCAGAGAACGGAUCACAACUUGGGUGUUCAAGUACUCCAUCAGAAAGUCGAUACGCUCAAACAAUUUGGGAGCAAAAUAACCAUGAUACCUACAAUUUUGACAUUUAUGAUAAUUAACUGCAGCUUUUGAGAAGGAAAAACUGCUUAUUGCCUAUGUUAUAUGGUACGUGCUGAACAAAGUGGAACCGCCCUUAAAUGACCAGCUGGCAUCACGCUGCUUCCACACUACUACCACACUCUGAUGCGUACAGCAGCUCUGCACACCCAGAACCUGCAACUAUUACAGUGGCGCCAACUUUGAGCACAGGUAAAGUUCAACAAACUAAAGGGGAGUUUUGUCCUUUUCAAAGAGUGGCUGGCUCCUAAUCCUUGUGAAACACUGUUUCACAGAAAUUGCAAACUCUUACCCCUCCAAGAGUGCUGAGUCUGUGGGCAAAAAACUGUCUGGAACGAUCCAGUGGGAAAUGUGCAAAGUGAUCUGUGCUACACAACCUUAAAAUGAACACAGAUCAACAACAUGGUUCCUCAAGGAAUCUCCUUCUGCUUGGUCACAAAUAUCACAGGUUUCAAGCAGCUCAGCAUAGCCAGAAAAUAUAACCAAAUUCAAAACUUAAAGUUAAAAUUUGCAGGUGAAAUUUCACCUCUAAGUAACUCAAGCUAUAAGUAAAAAUUAAUUAUUUACAACUCGGUGGUGGGUCAAGUUUUGUGUUUUUUAAAAAAUAUAGACAUGCCAACACUAUUUUAGCAGUAAGUACAGUACAUGAGAACAUGGACAAGUAACCAAGACUAUAUCUUGACCCUUUCCAGUACUAGCUAUAUUUAUUUUUUGAAUGAAGAUUUGAACUCACUUUUGAUCUUAAUACACAUCUUUUCCUUUUAGUACAUAUUUUCCCUUUUUAAUACACAAGUCUUUAAAUACUUACGGCUAGUUUCAAUAUUUACAUAAAUUUACAUUUCAUAUUUGCACACAUUUAUCAUUGAAAAUAGUGCUCUAAAUCAGUGUAAGUAUGUUUAGAUAAACUGUCCAAGAAUAACCAUUAAUAUUCAGACAGAGAUUCUGAAAAAAUUAUAAUUUAUAAGCUUCUAAUUUUUAUAUUUAGUAUUCUGUUUCUAUCUUUGAUUCUAAGCUAUAUUUUCUUUGUCACUUUUGAUGUCUCCUUACAAAAUACCAGGUACUUUCUGAUAAUAUAGAAACAGAUUAUAUAUUUUAAAAAUCCUCCAGGGUUCUAAAAAAGCUACUUUUAUCUGUUUGUUGUUUGAUAAAUAUUACAAUUAAAUGUAGCAUAAAACUGUAACUAUAAAAUACAUAAAAUACCUGGCAGAAAAGUAACAAUUGAAUUAUUUUACUGUACAAAUUUGAAUACUUUGACAUUCAAAAAAAUUUCAAUUGCCAGAAUAUAUGUACAACGUACAUAAACUAAGGAAAGUGACAUCUAUUAAAAAUGAUACAUAACCGAAUUUCGAGUGAUCAAUUUUAGGGGUCAUUUACAACCUGCUGGUGGAAUCUAGUCAAGGCAGUAUCUAAAAGUUUAUUUUUAAUCCUCCCAUUAGGAGCAGAGCGAUAAACACAGUCAGCUGUCUGUCUGACUCAGCUUUCAGCAGACGUGCAGUUACCCCUGCUGGCCUCACUCAGAGACAGUCAAGACCGCCACGUGCUGUGAUUUCGGCUACGACAAGGAAGGCCACAAAGAUGGGCAUAAAAUAACCGUGGUGGUGCCCACGUCACUCGUCAGCAUUGUAAGGCAUUGUCCCAGAAGGCGUCUGGGGACAGGGAGGAAAGAGGACCUGACAAAUCCACCUGGGACCCACAGCUCCGAGAUUGGUUAUGGAUUAUUUUCGUCGACAAUUCCAACCACAAAACCUAGGACUGGUUCCAUAGUGGAAGAUCAACUCUCCUCAAGUGCCAAAGAGCCAGUCACUAAUUCACCAGCCAAUACCAGCAAGUGCCAACUGUGUCAGCUCUAUAUCUGAACGCAGGGAUGUGGCCCUGAACUGAAACAGCCCGAAGCCUACUCUCAGGGAGGAUGCCCUCGACCAGGAGGAGAAGCACAAACGUAAGUGGAAGACGUAAAAUGCAGCCCAGACAAGUGCUCUGAAGGAGAGGCUCCGCGGGCAGAGGACAAGUCCUCUGCACAGCCCAGUGCUGCAGUUUCUCCCUUUACUUCCACUACCCGGAUUAAGCCAGAAAACGGAGACUUCCACUCUCUUGCAAAAAAUGAGCAUUAUGUGGACACGUUUUCCACAUACAUUAAAUUCUUGAUGACAGACUGAUUUAUUGGAAUUUUUCUUGUUUCCUCUCUAUUUCUCUCCAGGAAACAUCCCACUCAAAACAAGCUACUCUUUCUGAGUCCGUGGCUGUCAACAUCGACUGCACAUUGGAAUUAUCUGGAGGGCUUUACAAAGCCCAGGUGCCACCUCUAGAGAUUCUAGUGGAAUGGGUGCAGCCUGGAAAUCAAGAUUUAAAACCUAAUGUGCAGCCAAGAUUGGGAAGCACUGCUCUAUGCACAUACUGCUUUCUAGAAAUCCAAACACCCGAUGAAGGAAAAAAUUACAUCAGCUGGUUUAUUGUACACACGAUUGGUUAAUAAAGAAUAUUCUAGAUAUAAACGUUAUUCAUCGGUGAAGUUUUACUUUAUACAUUUCUUUCUUCUAAUUUUCCAUAAUUCAGUAAAUCAUAUUGAUUUUAAUAUACCCUCCCUAAGAUAAUCAGAUAAAAGUUGAAGAAAUCAAUUCAAAUGUAGUUACCUUAGGGGAUAUGUGUUGAAAAAAUGUUCUUUGAACAUUACAUCAAAUAACGAAAAGGAAAAACUAUCAAUAAGGAAUUGGUUAAAUAAACAUUGUUACAUGCACAUGGCGGGAUAACAUUAAAAAUAAUAAGGUUAUUCUAUGCAUUCCUUUUUUUCUUUUCAAAGAUGGGCACCUGAGC